UUUACAGAGGGAUAGCCCAGAGAAAUUUGGAUUAAUACCUCAUAGUAUAGUGAGUUGGCAUCAACACACUAUUAAAGUCACAACGGUAAAAGAUGAGCAUGCGUCCCAUUAGCUAGUUGGUAAGGUAACGGCUUACCAAGGCAACGAUGGGUAGGGGUCCUGAGAGGGAGAUCCCCCACACUGGUACUGAGACACGGACCAGACUCCUACGGGAGGCAGCAGUGAGGAAUAUUGGUCAAUGGGCGCAAGCCUGAACCAGCCAUGCCGCGUGCAGGAUGACGGUCCUAUGGAUUGUAAACUGCUUUUGCACAGGAAGAAACACUCGGUCGUGACCGAGCUUGACGGUACUGUGAGAAUAAGGAUCGGCUAACUCCGUGCCAGCAGCCGCGGUAAUACGGAGGAUCCAAGCGUUAUCCGGAAUCAUUGGGUUUAAAGGGUCCGUAGGCGGCCAGAUAAGUCAG
This 461-nucleotide ribosomal RNA is filed under the name Flavobacterium psychrophilum. Its description in RNAcentral is "bacterial SSU rRNA". It matches the Rfam family "Bacterial small subunit ribosomal RNA", at positions 132 to 591 of the family's 1533-position model. The record is from RNAcentral. Lineage: Bacteria; Pseudomonadati; Bacteroidota; Flavobacteriia; Flavobacteriales; Flavobacteriaceae.